UAUCACUUUUUCUAAAAGUUCGACUGGACAAAAGCCACCACAAUUGAUGUACUGAUAUCCGACACAGCAUUUGUGUCGAUUUUUCAUGUAAAGGUAAUUUUGAUGUCUAAGAUUAAAGGUAACGUUAAGUGGUUUAAUGAAUCCAAAGGAUUCGGUUUCAUUACUCCGGAAGAUGGCAGCAAAGACGUGUUCGUACACUUCUCUGCGAUCCAGAGCAAUGGUUUCAAAACUCUGGCUGAAGGUCAGCGUGUAGAGUUCGAAAUCACUAACGGUGCCAAAGGCCCUUCUGCUGCUAACGUAAUCGCUCUGUAAUUACAUACAGCAAGAAUUUCAAAACCCGCUGAUUCAGCGGGUUUUUUU
RNAcentral lists this non-coding RNA (360 nucleotides) under Cronobacter sakazakii ATCC BAA-894. Its description in RNAcentral is "cspA thermoregulator". It matches the Rfam family "cspA thermoregulator", at positions 94 to 428 of the family's 428-position model. Lineage: Bacteria; Pseudomonadati; Pseudomonadota; Gammaproteobacteria; Enterobacterales; Enterobacteriaceae. The record is from Rfam by way of RNAcentral.